CCUAAGUCCCAUACUAUAUAAAGUUGCCCGCCUUCUAUGAUUUUUGCACCUACGGUGCCAAUACCGCAUCAGCGGUUCUGCUGAUGCGGACCAAAUCACGCAUGUGCGGACAAAGGCCAAGCUUCCUCCUCUCGCUUCUGUUCUCAGGCGCUCGCGUUUGUAGACCCGUACCAGCAGCAAAAAGUGUGCACUUGCGGAGCUGUCCGCUCAUACGAUGGCUGCAUUCACAGGUGCGGUCUCUAGCCCAUUUAUGCAGUUGCUGGCCUCCCCUUUGCUGGUUCGCUUCUGAAGCUCGUGGCUCGUACCUGCGGCUGCUCAAGCGCAAGUGCGUUUACACCAGAAGCUAAAGCUUCAGCAUUUUCCUUAAGCCAAAACUUGAUCUGAGCCUCGUAACACAUGGGUACUCGUGGGCACCGUCCCAAUGUACCAACAAGUUUAGAAUCAUAAAAAGGACUCGCUCGAACUCUCGAAACGCACAAAAAAAAAUCAAAACUAAGAACCACACCCUAAACCAAUUGAAUCAAUGAAUAUGAACUUCAAGUUCUUCAAUUUACUCCCAACGCGCCGAAACGUACUUAAACUACUCGGAAUGCCAAAUUUUACGUAUAAGUCUUAAAUGAUAUUGCAAAACUAUUCCCGAUCUCAGAAUCCCAUUUGGACCUCGAUAAUACCAAACCUACUCCAAACCAAAUUUCAAGAACUUUAAAACCUUCAAAGAGCCAACUUUCACUAUUAGGCAUCGAAACUCUCCUGAGUUAUCCAAAAUUCGAUUGGAACAUACGGCCAAGUCAUCAUACGUACCUAUUGGGAUAGUCAAAUCCCGAUUCCGAGGUCGUUUACUCAAAAUAUUAAUCGAAGUCAAACUUAGUCUUUUAAAGCCAAAGCAUGGAACCAAGUGUUCCGAUUUCAACCCGAACUCUUCCAAAUUUCGACCUAAAUAUUUCUGCAAGUCAUAAAACAAUAAAAGUACGUACAAAAAGUCUUAUUUAAAAGAACGGGAUUCUCAAAAGCAAAACUACCGGUCGGGUCAUUAUAAUUUUCUUGUCCACUGUACUGAUGAUAGAUGUCCACUUUCAUCUGUUCAGUUUGAAAAAUCAGUAGAUAAUUUAGCAUUUUAUACCUAUUUUACCCUUCUUAGUAAGUACUAUGUAUUUCAAUUAAUUUUCCAACGUGUUUGUAUGAAUUUGUUGCCUAAGAGUUGUAUGUACAACUGGUGACAGGAUCGAAAUAAGUAAGUAUCAUACGGAAGCAAAUAACACAUAUGUUUAAUGACGAUAAAUCAGACAAUAAAAGAAAAAUAGAUAUAAAUAUUUAAUGUGGUUCGGUCAAUUGACCUACAUCUGCAAGCGAAGAUAAUCAAUCAACUAUAUAAAAAAAGGGUACAAAAUAUUGAGAGAACAACCUCAUAAAAAGGCACACACAAGUAAGCAAGAUAACAUUUAUCCCAAAAAAUUUUCCCUUAAACAAGACUCUCAAAUACCUUAGGAACUAUAUUGUAUCUGCUACCAAAAGAAAAGAAAGAUCCUUAAUUUAUAAAAGUUCAAAACAUUUUCCUCAAAAAAAAUAUCAAACCAAAUAUGAGUGAUUUAUAGUUUUUUUUAGGAAAAAAAGGAAAAAAUCAAUUAUGUAGUAAAUAUGUUUCGCUUCUUUCAAGAUAUAAAAAAACCGAUAUAUGAUAAAAGAAAUGAGGAUAAACUCCUGUUCCCAUAAUUUUUACCUAGUUCGUUGUCUGCUAGGCCAUAAUUUUUUUAUUUUUUAUUUUCCAAAUUUGUAUAAACAUGAUGUUAAAUUUAAUUUUUUUGUAUGUUGCAGUGUGGUUUUGUUGUCACAUUCAUACGUUGAAGGAAAGGACAUUAGACUAGUUGGAUGAAUGAAAGUUAGGAAUGUGCAAUCAAUGGCUGGUCACUAGUGACAAUUAGGGUCCAUAUGCCCAUCUGUCACUGAUCUGGAUCUUUUUUUGUUUAAGUUCUUGGUCGACAAUGACGUACUCAGGAAUUUUAGUAGGCAGUAUCAAUAUUUUAAAAAAUAAAUAAAUGAGUAAAUUAUUGUAAC
Molecule: long non-coding RNA, 2052 nt
Filed under: Nicotiana benthamiana
Lineage: Eukaryota; Viridiplantae; Streptophyta; Magnoliopsida; Solanales; Solanaceae
Description: long non-coding RNA (NBEN_LNC035835)
Source: RNAcentral